GUAGGGGGCAAGCGUUGUCCGGAUUUAUUGGGCGUAAAGAGCGUGUAGGCGGCCAGGUAGGUGGGUUGUGAAAACUGGAGGCUCAACCUUCAGACGUCGACCCAAACCCCCUGGCUAGAGUCCGGAAGAGGAGAGUGGAAUUCCUGGUGUAGCGGUGAAAUGCGCAGAUAUCAGGAAGAACACCCGUGGCGAAGGCGGCUCUCUGGAACGGUACUGACGCUGAGACGCGAAAGCGUGGGGAGCGAACAGGAUUAGAUACCCUGGUAGUCCACGCCGUAAACGAUGGGUGCUAGGUGUGGGGGGUGUCAACUCCCUCCGUGCCGAAGCUAACGCAUUAAGCACCCCGCCUGGGGAGUACGGCCGCAAGGCUA
This 371-nucleotide ribosomal RNA is filed under the name uncultured bacterium. RNAcentral describes it as "bacterial SSU rRNA". It matches the Rfam family "Bacterial small subunit ribosomal RNA", at positions 527 to 896 of the family's 1533-position model. The record is from RNAcentral.